AUAUCACUAAGCGGAGGAAAAGAAAUUAACUAAGAUUGCCUCAGUAACGGCGAGUGAAGCGGCAAGAGCCCAAACUGGAAAUCUUCACACUUCGUGUGACGAAUUGUAAUCUAAAGGUGGUUUGCUCAACGGUUGGUGGCGCAGAAGUUCCCUCGAACGGGACGCCAGAGAGGGUGAAAGCCCCGUAUGUGGUGCCACUGAUUAACGAGCAGGUUACCAAAGAGUCGGGUUGUUUUGUAUUGCAGCCCUAAGCGGGAGAUAAACUUCUUCUAAGGCUAGAUAUAUAUGGGAGACCGAUAGCGCACAAGUA
This 310-nucleotide ribosomal RNA is filed under the name uncultured eukaryote. Its description in RNAcentral is "partial large subunit ribosomal RNA". It matches the Rfam family "Eukaryotic large subunit ribosomal RNA", at positions 40 to 350 of the family's 3401-position model. The record is from RNAcentral.